GAAUAAUUCGUGUAUCACUGUGCAG
RNAcentral lists this non-coding RNA (25 nucleotides) under Cricetulus griseus (Chinese hamster). Lineage: Eukaryota; Metazoa; Chordata; Mammalia; Rodentia; Cricetidae. The record is from RNAcentral.